Molecule: long non-coding RNA, 391 nt
Filed under: Homo sapiens (human)
Lineage: Eukaryota; Metazoa; Chordata; Mammalia; Primates; Hominidae
Description: LHRI_LNC435.1
Source: RNAcentral
CAACAGCUCAGUUCCAGCAUGGUGCCUGCUUUGCUGCUCGCCCAAGCGCAAGCACCAUUACUGCUGAAUGAACCUGAGAAGGAGCCGGUUCUCUCCGUAAUUUGGAUGCCAGGCCUCCCAGAGUUAAUCAUCAGCUGCAGGCAGCACUUUCCCAGUCAGGUCAUAAACAAGGAAAAAACAGCCUGAGUAUCACGAAAACACUAAAAUAAGGAAGACCAGCGGCAACCGAACAUUUUAAAGUAAUGAAGGUGAAGGAAGACCAGGGGCAACUGAACAUUUUAAAGUAAUGAAGGUGAAUUAGCUUGUUGGGGGGAAAAAAAGUCGCUAUAAAAUACAGCUUUCAAUUAGUUGGAAACCAUGCAAGAAAUCUAAAUAUGAUUUCUAAUGUGAA